AGAAUCAACGCUGGCGGCGUGCCUAACACAUGCAAGUCGCACGAGAAAGGGUAGCAAUACCUGAGUAAAGUGGCGCACGGGUGUGUAACACGUGAAUGAUCUACCUCCGAGUGGGGAAUAACUGAGAGAAAUCUUAGCUAAUACCGCAUAACACUUACGAGUCAAAGCAGCAAUGCGCUUGGAGAGGAGUUCGCGGCCGAUUAGUUAGUUGGCGGGGUAAUGGCCCACCAAGACGAUGAUCGGUA
RNAcentral lists this ribosomal RNA (245 nucleotides) under uncultured bacterium. RNAcentral describes it as "partial small subunit ribosomal RNA". It matches the Rfam family "Bacterial small subunit ribosomal RNA", at positions 26 to 285 of the family's 1533-position model. The record is from RNAcentral.